This is a long non-coding RNA of Orcinus orca (killer whale), 3094 nucleotides long. RefSeq lists it as uncharacterized. The transcript has 3 exons. NCBI's taxonomy places the organism in Eukaryota, Metazoa, Chordata, Mammalia, Artiodactyla, Delphinidae. The record is from RefSeq and is a predicted model, not a curated record.
UUAACAUAUAAUUUAGAUGGAAAGAAAGUCCAACACUUAAUCAGGAUCAGUGAUCACACAAAAUUACCAAGUAGAAGAAAGGGUCAACAGGGUCUUCCAAAAAGAUGAAUUAGUCAAAUGUCCCAAAGAGGAAGAAACUACAGCCUAGACCCAAUGCCUCAUCUUACAGGAAGUGAAACCACUAGAUGGUCCUACUCAUUUUAAUAAAACACCAAUAAGGAAUACAUAAUUCUUUAAAAAGGUAACAGACCAAGUCAAUAUAUCAUACUGAUAGGAUAUUGGGUUCUGUAACUCUGGUAAAGUGAGACUUUAAAAGUAUGUUAUUUCCUGAAAGACAUCAGGUUGUAAAAAAAUAAAACGCAAGUGAAGGUGUGACCUUAAAAAUCAUGUUGCAGUAAGGCCAGAAGUUAUUGCAGCCUGAUGAUGUGUCUUGUACCCAGACCAAAAAUGGAUCAGCCAGUAAUCCAGAUUCUGCUGCCUUGGCUGGGCUGAGCACGUAUACUUUUUCUUUGGGGUCUAGUAAUAUUACUCCACCCCUGGGAAGGAAUAAAAAUAUAUUACUAAAACCCUAGGAAGAUAUUAAAAUAAGUAUACUAAUAUCCCCUCAGAAGGUAUAAAACAAGCACAUAAAUUAUCAAAGAAAUGAAUAAGUCCAUUGUUCUGAGGCUUUAGAAUACAUUCAAGUGUAAGUAUAAUAAUAAGCUUUGUAGUCACUGCAUUUGUGAAAGUUUUAUAUAUUUGAAGUGUUCAAAAAAUCAGCCAUAAUAAAUCUGCAGAUGCAUUUUAAAAGAUAUAGGAGAAAUUAAUCAAACUAUAGUCAGUUUAAAAUUUCAAGAUACUUUGUUUUAAAAAUAUUUUUUAUUAGGUAUAUGAGUUCAGUAAUUUGAACAUUAAACAAAAUACAAGUUUCUUGCUCCUGACAGGAAAAUUUAGAAACCUGGGCUGUGAGGUCCCUUCCCCUAAAUCAUCCCAGAGGAAAUUGGAAACCUUUCUUGCACAUUAGAAUUACCCAGGAAGCUUUAAAAUCUAUUGAUAAUCAGGGGCCCUCCUUGGACCAUUCGUAUCAGAAUCUUCAGAAGCAGAAUCUGGGCACUAGGGUAUUUUAAAUACUCCACAGUUCCAGCUAAUAUGCAGCCAGAGUUAAGGAAUUAAUAGAGGAGUUGAGAAGGCAGAGUUUGCGGAACUAACAUCAAAACUUUGAAAAGGCCACAAGGAGACCAAAGACAGUUGUGAGUUGGUGUAGAAGCUCAUGGCAGUCUGGGAUGGGGACAUAGUGGAGCAGUAGGUGUAGCUAUGGCGGGUGAAUUUUCUGUUACUUAUCCCCUACGUUGAUUUGGCGGGAUGUUUUUCUGAUCCCAUCACUUCCAUGGACUGGAAAUUAGCAAGAGCAGACCGGUUAUGCAUAUGGAGGGGAUGGAAGGGUUGGGGAGAUGGGGAGAAUAUCAGGGUAGCUUUAAGACCCUCCCAAGUUGAGAAUCUGGUGAGAACACGUGUAUAAGAUCUAGCUGCCCUACGGCAUUUGCUUCCUCCUUCCCUUCCUCUCCAUACCCUCAGUGACAGUGGAUUGCAACCUAAGAAGUUUAUCUCCUCUUGGAGAUAACCUUUUUUCCAGGAAUUUAAGGAAGAUUCUCUGAAUGGAGGCAAUGCCUGGUGAAGGAACUGGGAAUGGAGUUGGUCUGCAGGUUCUGUGAUGUGUGAUGCUCUCAUUCCUAGACUUCCCCAGCUUCCACAAAUAGUCCCAAGGAUCAAUACCACACAGACUAUAUUCUCUGACCACAGUGCAAUUAUGUUAGAAAUAAAUUACAAAAGAAUAAUUAUUGGGAGAUGAUUCUCCAUAGGUCUCUUGUGUUUCUGUAUGUCUUCUGAGCAGAGGCAUUGUCAGCUUUUAAUUACCUUUUCAAGGAUGUUUAUGUAGCAAACAGCCUUGGAAAAUAAAGAUAGCAUCUCCCUCCAUGGCAGAGGGCAGGUGUGUUUGCUCUCUAGUAAAACGAAGGUAAUGUCUCCCUGUGGGGCAAAGAUUGGGUAGGUUGGCUUAUACCCCCUUAUGAAAGAUUGGAGUUUCCUAAUCUCAGGGUCCUUCAACUGUGACUGAAACCUACUACAGGUGCAGCAUCCUCCUGGACCCAUAUAUGCAUCACUCUUGUAGGACUUAGGAGGCAAGGGGAACCAAGAGAAAAUGAAGUCAUUUGUCUUUGAUCCAGGAGUCUCAUGUCUUCCGGCAUUGUUUUUGAAACUGACUGGCUACCUUGGUACCUUACAAGCAGAACCAGAUUUACCCUCCUGCCUUAAACAAUGAGAAAAACUGGACAGGAUAUGUGGAGCAACUGCUUUAAGAUAUAGGAUGAUAUGAAGAUGAAGCCUGUGAUUCCAGAGAGAAGGGAAACCAAUGAGGUUGGACGAAAAUUGAGCCAAGAGCUGGAGGCCAGAAGUUCCCGCUCCUGCCCUACACAUCUAGACUUUGCGUUUUUACAUUUUCUACUACAUUUCAAGGCAAGUAACUUUAAUUUUGCUUCUCUGUCCUCUGUCACUGUGAAAUACCACAUCUCCAUGGGAAUAGAGGAUGCCUUUAGCUUCAGCAAACCUGCUAAAAUCCUUCUGGAAUGUGAUGUAGCAGGAUUUGCCUUUCCGUUGGUGGAGGUUCGGGCCUGUACGAAAAGAGUUGCUUAUUUCCAGAAUGCAAACUCUCCAAAUGCAGAGAGACAGGAGAUCUCUCAUGGAGGAAGCAGGGUCUUCAAAAAUUAAAAUGGAAAAUCCUUAGGCAAGAAAAGCUUGUCUUAAGUUUGGCACAGAAUUUGGGACCAUUGCUUCGGGAGUCAUUGACACCCAGAUGGGAAUGGAAGCCUCCAGGAUGGGUGAGGCAGCUCAGGGAGAACAAGUGUGUGCAGGGGGAAGGGAUGACUUGGGAGAGGAGGCUGUGGGAUGGGUACUAUCUUGGGUCUGUUCCUAAGAGGCAUGUUUUUCCAGCCUCUUCAUGCCAUCACACACCUCCACUUAAUAGAGUGUUGCAUUUCUUUAUUCACUUAUUGAAUUAUACAUUCUUUCACUUACUCACUUGCUCAUUUAUUCAAAAAGCAUUUAUUCAGCACCUACCAUG